Molecule: ribosomal RNA, 586 nt
Filed under: uncultured bacterium
Lineage: Bacteria
Description: bacterial SSU rRNA
Rfam family: Bacterial small subunit ribosomal RNA
Source: RNAcentral
GAGCCUGCGUCCCAUUAGCUAGUUGGUGAGGUAACGGCUCACCAAGGCGUCGAUCGGUAGCCGGCCUGAGAGGGUGAUCGGCCACACUGGAACUGAGACACGGUCCAGACCGCUACGGUGGGCAGCAGUACGGAAUAUUGCGCAAUGGGCGAAAGCCUGAUCCAGCCAUGCCGCGUGAGUGAUUUGAAGGCCCUAGGGUUGUAAAGCUCUUUCGGCGGGGAAGAUGAUGACGGUACCCGCAGAAGAAGCCCCGGCUAACUCCGUGCCAGCAGCCGCGGUAAUACGGAGGGGGCUAGCGUUGCUCGGAAUCACUGGGCGUAAAGCGAGCGUAGGCGGCCGCGCAAGUCGGGGGUGAAAGCCCGGGGCUCAACCCCGGAAUUGCCCUCGAAACUGCGUGGCUAGAGGCCGGGAGAGGAGAGUGGAAUUCCCAGUGGAGAGGUGAAAUUCGCAGAUAUUGGGAGGAACACCGGUGGCGAAAGCGGCUCUCUGGAACGGUUCUGACGCUGAGGCUCGAAAGCGUGGGGAGCAAACAGGAUUAGAUACCCUGGUAGUCCACGCCGUAAACGAUGAACGCUAGGUGUCGGAG